CGCGUAGGGCGCAAGCGUUGUCCGGAAUUAUUGGGCGUAAAGAGCUCGUAGGCGGUCUGUUGCGUCCGCUGUGAAAACUCGGGGCUUAACCCCGAGCCUGCAGUGGAUACGGGCAGACUAGAGGUAGGUAGGGGAGAACGGAAUUCCCGGUGUAGCGGUGAAAUGCGCAGAUAUCGGGAGGAACACCGGUGGCGAAGGCGGUUCUCUGGGCCUGUUCUGACGCUGAGGAGCGAAAGCGUGGGGAGCGAACAGG
This 253-nucleotide ribosomal RNA is filed under the name uncultured bacterium. RNAcentral describes it as "partial 16S ribosomal RNA". It matches the Rfam family "Bacterial small subunit ribosomal RNA", at positions 524 to 776 of the family's 1533-position model. The record is from RNAcentral.